Molecule: ribosomal RNA, 451 nt
Filed under: uncultured bacterium
Lineage: Bacteria
Description: bacterial SSU rRNA
Rfam family: Bacterial small subunit ribosomal RNA
Source: RNAcentral
GUGGGGAAUAUUGGACAAUGGGGGGAACCCUGAUCCAGCCAUGCCGCGUGUGUGAAGAAGGCCUUUUGGUUGUAAAGCACUUUAAGCGAGGAGGAGGCUACCGAGAUUAAUACUCUUGGAUAGUGGACGUUACUCGCAGAAUAAGCACCGGCUAACUCUGUGCCAGCAGCCGCGGUAAUACAGAGGGUGCAAGCGUUAAUCGGAUUUACUGGGCGUAAAGCGCGCGUAGGUGGCCAAUUAAGUCAAAUUUGAAAUCCCCGAGCUUAACUUGGGAAUUGCAUUCGAUACUGGUUGGCUAGAGUAUGGGAGAGGAUGGUAGAAUUCCAGGUGUAGCGGUGAAAUGCGUAGAGAUCUGGAGGAAUACCGAUGGCGAAGGCAGCCAUCUGGCCUAAUACUGACACUGAGGUGCGAAAGCAUGGGGAGCAAACAGGAUUAGAUACCCUAGUAGUCC